GACGAACGCUGGCGGCGUGCUUAACACAUGCAAGUCGAACGGUGACCUCGGAGCUUGCUCCGGGUGAUCAGUGGCGAACGGGUGAGUAACACGUGAGUAACCUGCCCCAGACUCUGGGAUAACCCCGGGAAACCGGAGCUAAUACCGGAUACGACGCGAAGAGGCAUCUCUAUCGUGUGGAAAGUUUUUCGGUCUGGGAUGGACUCGCGGCCUAUCAGCUAGUUGGUGAGGUAACGGCUCACCAAGGCGACGACGGGUAGCCGGCCUGAGAGGGCGACCGGCCACACUGGGACUGAGACACGGCCCAGACUCCUACGGGAGGCAGCAGUGGGGAAUAUUGCACAAUGGGCGAAAGCCUGAUGCAGCGACGCCGCGUGGGGGAUGACGGCCUUCGGGUUGUAAACCCCUUUCAGCAGGGAAGAAGCGAAAGUGACGGUACCUGCAGAAGAAGCACCGGCUAACUACGUGCCAGCAGCCGCGGUAAUACGUAGGGUGCGAGCGUUGUCCGGAAUUAUUGGGCGUAAAGAGCUUGUAGGCGGUCUGUCGCGUCUGCUGUGAAAAUCCGGGGCUCAACCCCGGACUUGCAGUGGGUACGGACAGACUAGAGUGUGGUAGGGGAGACUGGAAUUCCUGGUGUAGCGGUGAAAUGCGCAGAUAUCAGGAGGAACACCGAUGGCGAAGGCAGGUCUCUGGGCCACUACUGACGCUGAGAAGCGAAAGCAUGGGG
RNAcentral lists this ribosomal RNA (727 nucleotides) under uncultured Actinomycetes bacterium. RNAcentral's name for it is "bacterial SSU rRNA". It matches the Rfam family "Bacterial small subunit ribosomal RNA", at positions 28 to 766 of the family's 1533-position model. Lineage: Bacteria; Bacillati; Actinomycetota; Actinomycetes. The record is from RNAcentral.